This 255-nucleotide ribosomal RNA is filed under the name uncultured bacterium. Its description in RNAcentral is "partial 16S ribosomal RNA". It matches the Rfam family "Bacterial small subunit ribosomal RNA", at positions 524 to 776 of the family's 1533-position model. The record is from RNAcentral.
UACGUAGGGUGCAAGCGUUACUCGGAAUUACUGGGCGUAAAGCGUGCGUAGGUGGUUUGUUAAGUCUGAUGUGAAAGCCCUGGGCUCAACCUGGGGAAUUGCAUUGGAUACUGGCAGGCUAGAGUGCGGUAGAGGAUGGCGGAAUUCCCGGUGUAGCAGUGAAAUGCGUAGAGAUCGGGAGGAACAUCUGUGGCGAAGGCGGCCAUCUGGACCAGCACUGACACUGAGGCACGAAAGCGUGGGGGAGCAAACAGG